Schistosoma curassoni is the source of this 47-nucleotide non-coding RNA. The record is from Rfam. Lineage: Eukaryota; Metazoa; Platyhelminthes; Trematoda; Strigeidida; Schistosomatidae.
AUCCAGCUGAUGAGUCCCAAAAAUAGGACGAAAUCCGAGUUCUGCAU